RNAcentral lists this ribosomal RNA (253 nucleotides) under uncultured bacterium. RNAcentral's name for it is "partial 16S ribosomal RNA". It matches the Rfam family "Bacterial small subunit ribosomal RNA", at positions 524 to 776 of the family's 1533-position model. The record is from RNAcentral.
UACGUAGGGUACGAGCGUUGUCCGGAAUCAUUGGGCGUAAAGCGCGCGUAGGCGGCCCGGAAAGUCGGAUGUGAAAUCCCGGGGCUCAACCCCGGGCCUGCAUCCGAUACUCCCGGGCUGGAGGCAGGUAGGGGAGAUCGGAAUUCCUGGUGUAGCGGUGAAAUGCGCAGAUAUCAGGAGGAACACCGGUGGCGAAGGCGGAUCUCUGGGCCUUGCCUGACGCUGAGGCGCGAAAGCUAGGGGAGCGAACAGG